This 126-nucleotide ribosomal RNA is filed under the name Jaculus jaculus (lesser Egyptian jerboa). The record is from RNAcentral. Lineage: Eukaryota; Metazoa; Chordata; Mammalia; Rodentia; Dipodidae.
GUCUAUGGCCACACCACCCUGAAUGUGCCCCAUCACACCUGGUCUUGGAAGCUAAGCAGAGGCGGGCCUGUUAGUGCUUGGAUGGGAGAUUCCAUCUCACUCCUGUCAGAAUGGCUAUCAUCAAGA